RNAcentral lists this ribosomal RNA (253 nucleotides) under uncultured bacterium. Its description in RNAcentral is "partial 16S ribosomal RNA". It matches the Rfam family "Bacterial small subunit ribosomal RNA", at positions 524 to 776 of the family's 1533-position model. The record is from RNAcentral.
UACGUAGGGGGCAAGCGUUGUCCGGAUUUAUUGGGCGUAAAGAGCGUGUAGGCGGCCGUACAGGUCAGCUGUGAAAACUCGAGGCUCAACCUCGAGACGUCGGUUGAAACCGUACGGCUAGAGUCCGGAAGAGGAGAGUGGAAUUCCCGGUGUAGCGGUGAAAUGCGCAGAUAUCGGGAAGAACACCCGUGGCGAAGGCGGCUCUCUGGGACGGUACUGACGCUGAGGCGCGAAAGCUAGGGGAGCAAACAGG